CCCUUAGAUGUUCUGGGCCGCACGCGCGCUACACUGACGAUGGCAACGAGUUUUUCCUUCGCCGAAAGGUGUGGGUAAUCUUUUGAAACAUCGUCGUGCUGGGGAUAGAUCAUUGCAAUUUUUGAUCUUGAACGAGGAAUUCCUAGUAAGCGCGAGUCAUCAGCUCGCGUUGAUUACGUCCCUGCCCUUUGUACACACCGCCCGUCGCUACUACCGAUUGAAUGGUCCGAUGAAUAUCAUGGAUUGAGGAUGCAAGCAGGUUCGCCUGUCUUCAUCUUCGAGAAGUGAAGUAAAUCUUAUCAUUUAGAGGAAGGAGAAGUCGUAACA
Molecule: ribosomal RNA, 327 nt
Filed under: uncultured eukaryote
Lineage: Eukaryota
Description: partial 18S ribosomal RNA
Rfam family: Eukaryotic small subunit ribosomal RNA
Source: RNAcentral